UUGAUAUUCGUGAACUUAGAGGAC
Molecule: non-coding RNA, 24 nt
Filed under: Rattus norvegicus (Norway rat)
Lineage: Eukaryota; Metazoa; Chordata; Mammalia; Rodentia; Muridae
Source: RNAcentral